RNAcentral lists this ribosomal RNA (1511 nucleotides) under metagenome. Its description in RNAcentral is "bacterial SSU rRNA". It matches the Rfam family "Bacterial small subunit ribosomal RNA". The record is from RNAcentral.
AGAGUUUGAUUCUGGCUCAGAACGAACGCUUGCAGCGUGGAUUAGGCAUGCAAGUCGAACGGGAAGCCCCGUUUUCAAUCUUCGGAGAGAAUUUGGGGUGGAGAGUGGCGAAAGGGUGAGUAACGCGUGGGCAAUCUACCCCCAAGUUGGGGAUAACCAGCCGAAAGGCUGGCUAAUACCGAAUGUGGUUCUUUGACGAUGGUCAGAGUAACUAAAGGCAGGGAUCCUUCGGGACCUGUCGCUUGAGGAGGAGCCCGCGUCCCAUCAGCUUGUUGGUAGGGUAACGGCCUACCAAGGCUUACGUAGCUGGUCUGAGAGGAUGGUCAGCCACACUGGGACUGAGACACUGCCCAGACUCCUACGGGAGGCUGCAGUCGAGGAUCAUUCGCAAUGCGCGAAAGCGUGACGAUGCGACGCUGCGUGGAGGAUGACGGCCCUAGGGUUGUAAACUCCUGUCAUCCGGGAAAAAUGGUCCCGGCUUUAAUAGAGUCGGGAACUGAUGGUACCGGAAGAGGAAGCCACGGCUAACUCUGUGCCAGCAGCCGCGGUAAUACAGAGGUGGCGAGCGUUGUUCGGAUUUACUGGGCGUAAAGGGUGCGUAGGUGGUUCCGUAUGUCGAAUGUGAAAGCCCGCCGCUCAACGGCGGAAUUGCAUUCGAAACUGCGGUGCUAGAGUCCAAGAGGGGAGAGCGGAAUUCUUGGUGUAGCGGUGAAAUGCGUUGAUAUCAAGAAGAACACCGGCGGCGAAGGCGGCUCUCUGGAAUGGAACUGACACUGAGGCACGAAAGCUGGGGGAGCAAACAGGAUUAGAUACCCUGGUAGUCCCAGCCGUAAACGGUGUGCACUUGGUGUGGGGGGCGUCAAACCCUCCCGUGCCGGAGCUAACGCGUUAAGUGCACCGCCUGGGGAGUACGGCCGCAAGGCUAAAACUCAAAGAAAUUGACGGGGGCCCGCACAAGCGGAGGAGCAUGUGGCUUAAUUCGAUGCAACGCGAAGAACCUUACCAGGGCUUGACAUGGCGACCCUUCGGGGGUGGGAGUGAAAGUUCCCUUUGCGAUCACAGGUGCUGCAUGGCUGUCGUCAGUUCGUGCCGUGAGGUGUUUGGUUAAGUCCAGCAACGAACGCAACCCUUGUGCUUAGUUGCCACUCCUGGUGUUGAGCCGGGAAGCACUCUAGGCAGACUGCCCGUACAAGCGGGAGGAAGGUGGGGACGACGUCAAGUCAGUAUGGCCCUUACGCCCUGGGCUGCACACGUGCUACAAUGGUUGGUACAGAAGGAUGCAAUACCGCGAGGUGGAGCCAAUCCUCAAAACCAACCUCAGUUCGGAUUGGAGUCUGCAACUCGACUCCAUGAAGUCGGAUUCGCUAGUAACGGCGUAUCAGCUACGACGCCGUGAAUAUGUUCCCGGGCCUUGUACACACCGCCCGUCACAUCAUGAAAGCCGUCUGCACCCGAAGUCGCUGAGCCAACCCUAACGGGAGGCAGGUGCCGAAGGUGUGGGUGGUGAUUGG